This is a long non-coding RNA of Mus musculus (house mouse), 1997 nucleotides long. RefSeq annotates it as predicted gene, 39230. The transcript is spliced from 2 exons. The record is from RefSeq and is a predicted model, not a curated record. Lineage: Eukaryota; Metazoa; Chordata; Mammalia; Rodentia; Muridae.
CAUCCUAAAUGAAGUAACCCAAUCCCAAAAGGACAUGCAUGGGAAGAGCACACUGCCAUUCUUAAGAACGGAAUCCUGGCCCAAACUGCACCCAUCACAUAACCAUUAUCUGCAGUUUAAAAAGGACUCCACUUCCUGUUUCAGAACACUGCUCAUACCAUCAACAGCUCAAGUUUAUUCCUGAGAUUGCACAUUGCUCUUUCUAAAAUGUUUCUUUGUAUGGCAUUUUGCCUCUAGGGUCUAUGGCCUAUUCAGUCUGAAUAUCUCAAUUGGCAGAAGAACGCUGAGGAACCUCUGGAUUUGAUUGUAUAUGUCGAAUCUACAGUCCUGGCUGUUACUACAACUCCCCUGCCUACCUCUGCCUCCAUGCUCACUCCCUAGUCCCAACACAGUGAGAAAGGCUCACUGUUGUGGGGCCCCCAUUGUUCAGAGAAAGAAGAGCCCAGACUCAGCUAACUUCCUGCAGGGCAGAUGGGGCUCACUGGUUUCUGGCUUCUUGUAUGGCUUCUGCUGGGAACAGAAGUGAGUCCUAUUCAGUCACUCAUCCAUCUAGCCAUCCCUCCAGGAAGGGGCUUCUGCCUUGUGCCAGCGGUAAAUGUGGGGUCCACGGUGGGGAAUAGGCAGCUGGCCAUCCCUCCUGCCCCUGUGCAGCUUGCAUUCUGUAGAAUGAGAAAGAUGGCAAACCAAACUGCAGUGAGAUAUAUGACGUGAAUUAAAGUAUGUGUGAAGGCAAACAGCUGGAGACAUUUUUCAUACAAUGGAUUCAAGGAAGCAACCCUCAAGGGAAGAUACGGAGCUGGCUGUGUGCAAAGCCCAACGGGAGCCAUUCCAAACAGAAAGAGCACCGUGGCUGGUUCUGGAACAAGAAAAGGGAGAGUCUGUGGUAUGGCCUGUUCUUGAGAAGAGGCAAAAGUGGGGCCUAACUAGCAGAGGUAUGGAUGGUAGCGACACCUGAGGUAGUGGAAGGUCACAGAACUAGAUCUCUGAGGGACAAACAGGAAAGACAGGACCCCGCGUCAUUGUGAAUAUUCUGGACCUACACAUUCUAGUGCUUUGACCGGGACUUCCUGGCUGCCUGGAGCACACAACCCGUUAACCAGAAGCUGCUCCAAGAAAUCAGACUUGCAAGAGCCCUCACUACACAUGUGCCUGCAGUCAAAAUGCAUGGAUUCAUGUGGUGGGGCAAUCACCACAGAAUAAAGACAGUCCCUGGCUCGCAUGGGUUGAGCUGAUCUUAAGGUGUAAAAAGUAGAGACAGGCCUGGAUUGCCACAGCUCUGGAGAAUUUCACACUUGGAUUCUGUGUGCCCGGCAGGGUGUGAGAGAAAUUUACAUUCAUCCUCUGGAACUGGUUGAAGCCUUUCCACCAGUUUUGAGCAAAUCAGAAGGAGGAGGAAAAGGAGGAAGAGAAGAGGAGGAAGAGGGAGAGGAGGAGGAGGAAGAAGAGGAAGAGAAAGAAGGAGGAGAAGGGAGGUAAGGUUAUUUCAACCACAGUUAUAUCCAGGCCAGCUGCAGAGGGUGUUAUCAAGUUAGCUGCUAAGAAAACCCACCUUGAGGCUUAAACUUACACCCUUGGGGUGGGGGGUGGGGAGGGAGGAGUCUUUGAAAACAGUUCUGUGCCUUCAAUAGCUCACAAUGCAGCCCUCCUUCACAGCCUGCAGAACAACAGGCCUUGACACUUUAAUUGUUCUAAUAGAAACCGUUAAUGGGGUUUUAGUAAAAAUAGAACUCAAAUAGACUUCAAGGCUCCUGUUUUUCUGCAGCCAGAGAUACUGACUAGAAAUUCAUUUCCACCGUGGCAGGGUUGGAAGUUCCAUAUAUGCAGGAGUGUGGGUAAAGAGUCAGUAUUUUAACAGCCAUAUUGGUCUAGAAAUGUUGAACUUAAUUUUUUUUUCCAUUUGUACAGGGGUAACGCACUGUAUUAAAUAUGUAAGGUCUUAUCUACAUGGGUUUGAUUACAAAAACUAAUAAAGUAUUCUCUAAAUAAAAAAAAAAAAA